Molecule: unclassified non-coding RNA, 227 nt
Filed under: Hevea brasiliensis (rubber tree)
Lineage: Eukaryota; Viridiplantae; Streptophyta; Magnoliopsida; Malpighiales; Euphorbiaceae
Source: RNAcentral
AGAAGAAGAAGAAGAAGAAGAAUUAUCCAAUUGGAUCGGAUGGAGAUGCUGCUCCUCCACACCCACCAUUUCCACCUCUACUUCCUUUUUCAGGUUCCUGUACGGAACCCGAAUCGACACUGAGUCCAUCCUCCAAGCAAAUGCCUGAGAAGUCGCACAAACAACGAUCUCAACAAUUGCCGUUUCACAUUUAAAAGUGAAGAUGUCAAGCGGCGAGAGAGGCAAGG